UGAUAGUGUUCCAUCAAAAGCAAU
Molecule: small RNA, 24 nt
Filed under: Bombyx mori (domestic silkworm)
Lineage: Eukaryota; Metazoa; Arthropoda; Insecta; Lepidoptera; Bombycidae
Description: ovarian small RNA-32493
Source: RNAcentral